UGGCUUUAACUAUAAAGUAAUGAAAAAGGUCAAAUUAGUGCAGUAAAAAGGUCACGAAAUACUGCAUUGCUGUAAUGAAUCGAAUUACGUAGUUUUAUUUAAUGACGUAAUAAGACAACCGUGGGUUAUGACGUCCAAAUAUGGGCUGAUUACGUAAUUGCAACAGCAGUGUCGUAUGUCAUGCACGUCUGCACGAGUGAAACCAUCACUGACCUUCGCAAAACAAAUGCCGCAUGUGUUCUUGUUUAUGAAACCAGAAAAUGUGGAAAUAAAUUUUCUUGGGCAACAUAGUAAUCGUCAAAAAAAAUCCAAAUUAAAAUACAAUUGCAAUAAUGUUUUAAUCAAUAUUUGAAGGUUGAAUCGUUAUUUUGACUGGCUAAGUUUUGUAGGCGAGACAUACGCCAGGUCUGCGUGUUUACAUCGUCAUAGAUAGCGGUGAGAACAAAACCCGGCGCUUCAAAGAUUUCUUAAAACGAUAAAUAUACGACGUUUUAAUGAAUAAUUCUCAUAGCAGCAUGUCAAAAUACUUCAAUUUUGAUGUUGCUGGAUUUUAACAUGCCACGCAAUGGCUGAAACAUCGCUCACUUCUCAAGAAAGUUGGUGGUGGGAAUGGUUGAAAUGGUGCCCAACGUCCGAGCAGCUUUUAGCCGAUGCCGAGUCGAGAGUUCUCAGCAGUGAGUCUUGCUCUUAAUUUAGUUCUUCUUGAGAAGUUUAGCAUCCAAAGAGCUUGUUUAGCUCGCCAUUUCAAUCUAAAUAGGUGUGGAUGUACCUUACGAAGGAAAGUACAUAACCACAUCAAAGAAUAAUCGGAUAUGGACUGUAGUCUUCAAUCCAAGUGGUUCUAAGACCCCUGUUUUGAUGGUCCAUGGUUUAGGAGCUGGUCUUGGAAUAUGGGUGAUGAAUAUUAAAGAGCUUUGCAAAGAUCGACCUGUUUACACAUUUGACUUGUUGGGAUUUGGUCGUAGCUCACGGCCGGAUUUUGAUGAAGAUCCCAAGUCUGUUGAAGAUGCAUUCGUUUCAUCAAUAGAAGAUACAGUGAUUGGUCUGGGGUUGGACAAAUUUAUCAUAAUUGGUCAUAGUUUUGGUGGAUAUUUGUCAUAUGCAUAUGCAAUAAAACAUACUCAACAUGUGAAAUCAUUAAUACUGGUUGACCCUUGGGGAUUCACAGAGAAGACUCAAGAUUGGAAAAGCAAUGUGCAUGUGCCAAAGUGGAUCAAAAUGAUGGCAGCUAUGUUAAGCCCUUUCAACCCAUAUGCCAUACUACGUUCGAGGACCAUUAGGACCUGCAGUUCUUCGAACUACACGACCAGAUUUAGAAAAAAAAUUCAUUAGUAUAUUUAGUGAUGACACAAUACCAAAUUAUCUUUAUCAUUGCAAUGUUCAAAAUCCAAGUGGGGAGACUGGGUUCAAGAGGUUAACCAUUCCAUAUCUAUGGCCAAGAUUUCCCAUGAUGCAUCGUAUUAAAGAACUUAAUCAAGAGGUAAAAGUUUUCAUGCUGUUUGGAUCAAGAACUCGUAUAGAUGCAAGUAUAUCCAAUGACAUCAAAGAAAUCCGACCAGAACAGUUUGAGAUUUAUAGUGUUAAAAAUGCAGGCCAUCAUGUUUUUGCUGAUAGGCCAAAUGAAUUUAACAAUAUAAUAAUUGAAAUUUGUCAAAAAGUCGAGACUACAUAAAUUUUAAAUUUUAAAAGUAAACAUAUUUUUAACCGCACAGGUUUGCAGGAUCUUAAUUAAAGAUGGGUUUGAAAAAUAAUUACAAAAAAGAGGAGUUAUAUGACUACAAAAUAUAAUAUGUAGGCAUUCAUUCCUCGUUUAUUUAUGUAGAUUUAGAUUAAUAGUUAUACAAGCUAAAUAAAGAUUAUUAUAUUAAAAUUAGACUAUACAAUUCCCUGAGUUAUAUCACAACAGUGACAUUCUCGACCCUAUACUAAAAUUCUUGAUGUUAACUACAUGUAAAUUACUAAACGAUACAACAUAGACUGUCCUCAGUAUCUCUCACCUUGAUAUUGGAGAGAUGUUUUUGGAACGAAAAUACCCAGUUACCUGUUCUGGGAUUUCAGCUAGAACACAUUUUGCCAAUUCAGCAGGUGAAGACUAAAGAAAAAAUUCCUUGGUGAUGACAUAAAUUUUAAUGACAAAAGUCAUCAUUAAAUUUAUAUGCAAAAAAUAAUAAACUGACGUGCAUUUUAGUAAACCAAUACUAAACUA
This is an RNA transcript of Xenia sp. Carnegie-2017, 2206 nucleotides long. It is a transcript of the gene named 1-acylglycerol-3-phosphate O-acyltransferase ABHD5-like, with no coding region annotated. The record is from RefSeq and is a predicted model, not a curated record. Lineage: Eukaryota; Metazoa; Cnidaria; Anthozoa; Malacalcyonacea; Xeniidae. The transcript has 5 exons.